AGAUUCGCUUUAUGGACCACUCAGCAAUAUUUAUAAAUAUUCUAUAUGUUCCUGGAAAUAAUAUGUAUAUUUUCUGUAGUUACUGGUUGCAGUUUUCUGCAGAUGUUCCCUACGUCACCUUUGUAAUUGUUUUGUUCAGAUCUUCUAGAUCUUUACUGAUUUUCAUUUGUUUUGUAAGUUAUCACUGAAAUCUCUGACUGUGAUUGGGCUUUUGCCUUUUUUGCAUCUUGUCAAUUUUUAUCUUAUAUAUUUUGAGAUGAUGGUAUUAGGUGCACAAAAAUUUCUAGUUUACUAUAGCUUCAGGAUGAAUUGAAAAAUGUAUCAUUAGGAUAAGGUUUUUUUCCUUAAGGUCUGCUUUGGUCUGGUAUUAAUAUAGUCAAAACAGCUUUUAAAAAUUUAGUGUUUAUAUAGUAUAUUUUCUGCCUUUCUCUUUCUUUCUUUUGAAGUAUAGUUGAUUUACAGUGUUGUGUUAAUUUCUGCUGCACGGCCAAGUGAUUCUGUUUUUAUAUACAGUCUCUUUUUAAGAAUUAUUUUCCACAUGGUUUAUCAUAGGAUAUUGAUUGAAUAUAGCUCCUUGUGCUAUGCAGUAGGACCUUAUUUAUUUUAAUUAAUUAAUUAAUUUAUUUAUUUAUUUUUAGGGCCAUGCCCCCGGCAUACGGAGGUUCCCAGGCUAGGGGGUCCAACUGGAGCUAUAGCCACUGGCCUACGCCACAGCCACAGCAAUGCUGGAUCUGAGCCACGUCUGCGACCUACACCACAGCUCACGGCAAUGCUGAAUCCUUAACCCACUGAGCGAGGCUAGGGACUGAACCUGAAACUUUAUGGUUCCUAGCUGGAUUCAUUUUCACUGCGCUACGAACUUCUAUAAACUACUUAUAAUUUAAAAAUAUCCUAUUGAAAUUGUAUGUCUUUUAAUUGGAAUGACUAGUCCAUAUAUUUAAUGUAAUUCCUGAUAUAUUUGAGUUCAAAUCUACUCUCUUAGUACAUCUUCUUUGGUGUUUCACUGAGCCGUAAAACAGUGAUUCCAGGAAGAUAGAUGGGGUGGGGGUAGGAAAAAAAACUGGGUAGGGAGUCAGGAGACCUAAGUUUUAGGCUUUCUCAUAGUUUUGUGACUUUGGAUAAGUCAUUUACCUUCUUUGGCUAUUUUUACUUCUUCACUUAAAUAAAGGAACUGGAUUAGAAGAUGACUGAAGUUUUCUAUAAUUCGAGAUAUAAUGGUAGAAAGGAAAACUUUAUGAGACAGUGACGCAGGUAUUGGAGAAGGGGAAAUUGUGCCUGUAUUGUCGAGGGUGAUUGCAGACACUGAUUUUUUCAGGAGUUGUGACUUUCUGAAGAAAUGCUAAUGACUAAAACAGACAUCUAAACAGAGCUAUAAUGGAAGGAGGCUUUGCCAGUUCAUUAUCUUUGAAAGGAAUUUAAAAUGUUCUUUUCAAUUGGAGGCAGGAAUCUUUCAAAUUCUUUUUUCCCCAAGGAUGGUGCCUCACAAUAUGGGAAGAGGCUUACCUUUCACUAUACACAUGGCAGACAUUUGUAACUGGAGAAAUUACCCUCUAUGUAAAUAUUGUCCAGUAAAUUAAUCAAACUUCGGCUGAGAACUGAUUAAAUAUCAGGUGCUUAGUUAGAUGCCUCAAAGAUGGAGAACAGAUGGUUUUGUGCCUCAGGGAGUUUUAAUCUGGAGAUGCUGAAUGGAGAAUCAUUUAGGUCUAACCAGGAAAAACAGAAACACCUCUAAGUAUUUAAAAUGAGGGAAUUUAAUGCAAAAAGUAGUUACACAGACUGUUGAGAAGCCAACAGAGGGAUGGUGCGGUGAACCAAGACAUGAUGCAGACCUGCUACCGGGAUGGUUUUUAGAGGCAAGGAAAAAAAAGAACGGUCCGUGGUAAGUGAGGUGGAAAUGCCAGAAUGUCCAUGGAAGGUGGUGGAAAUAGGAUUAAAAAGCUCAGAGUAAAGGCAGCAAAACCACCAGAUUGUGUGCCAUGGAAAAGAUUGGAGGACACACAGUUUAGUAAAUAAGUAAGAAAUGCACUGCUAAGGGGGACACCAGCAUCUAUUAGAAGUCUGGUGGUGGCUCCUUGGCUUGCCACGGGUGACUGUAGGAGACACCCUAUCAGAACUGAGUUUACUGAUAGUAGUGGAGGAAGCAGCACUCUGGGAAAUUGAGGUCAGAGUGGACAUUAACUAUGGGGGGGGGGCGCAAUUACCAUAAUACAUUGAAAGGUCAGAGAAGCAACCAGGAAGGUCUUCCUGCAAAGAGUUACCAAGAUGCUUAUUGGGGAGGUCAGUGGUUAACAAACCCGACUAGUAUUUAUGAGGAUGUGGGUUUGAUCCCCGGCCUUGCUCAGUGGGUUAGGGAUCCGGUGUUGCCGUGAGCUGUGGUAUAGGUUGCAGACGCGGCUCAGAUCUGGCAUUGCUGUGGCUGUAGCUGAGGCUGGCAGCUCCGGCUCUUAUUUGAUGCCCAGCCUGGGAACCUCCAUAUGCCGUGGGUGCGGCCCUAAAAAUUAAAAAAAGAAAAAAAAGAAAAAAGAUGCUUCUUGGCGAAUGGCCUCUCUCCAGGAGCAAAAACAGAUGAACAGUCAAUAGGAGUACUACUGAGUCUAUAUGAUCAAAGAAAUCAAGGAUGGGUGAUCAGGAGGCUGAGAUGAAUCACUCUCAAUAAAAAGGCACAACUGCUCACCAGACUUGAAUCAGUUUUGGAACCUGAAACCCAGUGAAGGGCCAGCAAUCCAGGAGGAAAGACCCUUCAAUAUAACACAAGUAUCUACAGUAAUGAGUCUGCUAGGUUUUCUUCAGAGGGAUUUAUAGCCAUUUAGGGGAGUAACUGUACACUGGGGAAAGGGGAACGCCCAGACAUUUCAAGGACUGUUGGACACAGGAUCCCAACUUACGUUAACACCUAGAGGCCAAAGUGUCACCAUGACCCCCCUGUUACGGUGGGGGCAGAGGAGACCAAGUUUGAAGGCCUGGCUAUAGUCCAGCUCACAUAUCCGUGAGGUCUGUGGACUUGAGUCAUCAUGUCCCAGGUUUUUUUUUUUUUCUUUCUUUUCUUUUUUUUUUCGUUUUGGUUGAAGUAAAGUUGAUUUGCAAUAUUAUGAGAGUUUUAGGUGUACAACAUAGGGAUUCAAUAUUUUUAUGGACUACAUUCCAAUUAGAUGUAUGAUAAAACGAUGGUUAUAUUCCCUGUGCUGUACCCUGCAUCCUUGCUGCUUAUCUGUUUUACACAUAGUGGUUUGUAUCUUUUAAUUCCCUGCCCUUCUCCUUCCCUCUGCCCACUGGUAACCACUGGUUUGUUCUCUAUAUCUGUGCGUCUGCUUCUUUUUUGUUAUGUACAUUUAUUGAUUGAUUGAUUGAUUGAUUGAUUGUCUUUUGUCUUUUUAGGGCCACACUGGCAGCAUGUGGAGGUUCCCAGG
This 3407-nucleotide long non-coding RNA is filed under the name Sus scrofa (pig). RNAcentral describes it as "lncRNA (ENSSSCG00000053924.1, ENSSSCG00160002499.1, ENSSSCG00175003879.1)". The record is from RNAcentral. Lineage: Eukaryota; Metazoa; Chordata; Mammalia; Artiodactyla; Suidae.